Molecule: ribosomal RNA, 468 nt
Filed under: uncultured bacterium
Lineage: Bacteria
Description: partial 16S ribosomal RNA
Rfam family: Bacterial small subunit ribosomal RNA
Source: RNAcentral
GACGAACGCUGGCGGCGUGCUUAACACAUGCAAGUCGAACGGAAAGGCCCUGCUUUUGUGGGGUGCUCGAGUGGCGAACGGGUGAGUAACACGUGAGUAACCUGCCCUUGACUUUGGGAUAACUUCAGGAAACUGGGGCUAAUACCGGAUAGGAGCUCCUGCUGCAUGGUGGGGGUUGGAAAGUUUCGGCGGUUGGGGAUGGACUCGCGGCUUAUCAGCUUGUUGGUGGGGUAGUGGCUUACCAAGGCUUUGACGGGUAGCCGGCCUGAGAGGGUGACCGGCCACAUUGGGACUGAGAUACGGCCCAGACUCCUACGGGAGGCAGCAGUGGGGAAUAUUGCACAAUGGGCGGCAGCCUGAUGCAGCACCGCCGCGUGCGGGAUGACGGCCUUCGGGUUGUAAACCGCUUUCGCCUGUGACGAGGCGUGAGUGACGGUAAUGGGUAAAGAAGCACCGGCUAACUACGUG